AGCUUCAUCACCAAACCGCUCGACGGCGGCACGCUCACCGCAAGGUGGACGUGUAGCUGGCGAGGGGGAUGGCAACGGAGCUGCCAAGAACCGAAAAGUAAAGGUCCGCUGGAUCUCUCUCUCUCCAUCACAGUAAAGAAAGGAAGAAGAAGGAACCACAGCCGACCGCUCGACGGCGGCGCACCCACAGCAAGGCGGAUGCGCAGCCGGCGAGGGGAAGGUCAUGGCUCCGAGGGAGAGAUCAGGAAGGCAGCA
RNAcentral lists this long non-coding RNA (255 nucleotides) under Hordeum vulgare. RNAcentral's name for it is "long non-coding RNA (HVUL_LNC014950)". The record is from RNAcentral. Lineage: Eukaryota; Viridiplantae; Streptophyta; Magnoliopsida; Poales; Poaceae.